Molecule: non-coding RNA, 45 nt
Organism: Schistosoma haematobium
Lineage: Eukaryota; Metazoa; Platyhelminthes; Trematoda; Strigeidida; Schistosomatidae
Source: Rfam
AUCUAGCUGACAAGUCCCAUAUAGGACGAGACACACGUCCUGGAU